GGUUAGAAAGUUUCAUAGCUCAGUGGUAGAGCAUUUGCCCUCAUGCAGAGGGUCCCUGGUUCAAUCCCCAGCAUCUCUAGGCA
Non-coding RNA from Podarcis lilfordi (Lilford's wall lizard), 83 nucleotides. The record is from the annotation of a GenBank genome assembly. NCBI's taxonomy places the organism in Eukaryota, Metazoa, Chordata, Lepidosauria, Squamata, Lacertidae.